Molecule: ribosomal RNA, 253 nt
Filed under: uncultured bacterium
Lineage: Bacteria
Description: partial 16S ribosomal RNA
Rfam family: Bacterial small subunit ribosomal RNA
Source: RNAcentral
UACGUAGGUGGCAAGCGUUGUCCGGAAUUAUUGGGCGUAAAGCGCGCGCAGGCGGUCCUUUAAGUCUGAUGUGAAAGCCCACGGCUCAACCGUGGAGGGUCAUUGGAAACUGGGGGACUUGAGUACAGAAGAGAAGAGUGGAAUUCCACGUGUAGCGGUGAAAUGCGUAGAGAUGUGGAGGAACACCAGUGGCGAAGGCGACUCUUUGGUCUGUAACUGACGCUGAGGCACGAAGGUCAGGGGAGCAAACGGG